CAUUGAAACACUGGUUCCCAUACAAUUACCAAAGUUAAGCAACGUUAAGACUCAUCAGUACCUAGAUGAGUGACCACUUGGGAAUACCAGUUGCUGUAAG
Molecule: non-coding RNA, 100 nt
Organism: Acanthosepion pharaonis
Lineage: Eukaryota; Metazoa; Mollusca; Cephalopoda; Sepiida; Sepiidae
Source: the annotation of a GenBank genome assembly